CGGGACACGUGGUAUCCUGUCUGAAUAUGGGGGGACCAUCCUCCAAGGCUAAAUACUCCUGACUGACCGAUAGUGAACCAGUACCGUGAGGGAAAGGCGAAAAGAACCCCGGCGAGGGGAGUGAAAAAGAACCUGAAACCGUGUACGUACAAGCAGUGGGAGCCUCUUUAUGGGGUGACUGCGUACCUUUUGUAUAAUGGGUCAGCGACUUAUAUUCUGUAGCAAGGUUAACCGAAUAGGGGAGCCGAAGGGAAACCGAGUCUUAACUGGGCGUUAAGUUGCAGGGUAUAGACCCGAAACCCGGUGAUCUAGCCAUGGGCAGGUUGAAGGUUGGGUAACACUAACUGGAGGACCGAACCGACUAAUGUUGAAAAAUUAGCGGAUGACUUGUGGCUGGGGGUGAAAGGCCAAUCAAACCGGGAGAUAGCUGGUUCUCCCCGAAAGCUAUUUAGGUAGCGCCUCGUGAAUUCAUCUCCGGGGGUAGAGCACUGUUUCGGCAAGGGGGUCAUCCCGACUUACCAACCCGAUGCAAACUGCGAAUACCGGAGAAUGUUAUCACGGGAGACACACGGCGGGUGCUAACGUCCGUCGUGAAGAGGGAAACAACCCAGACCGCCAGCUAAGGUCCCAAAGUCAUGGUUAAGUGGGAAACGAUGUGGGAAGGCCCAGACAGCCAGGAUGUUGGCUUAGAAGCAGCCAUCAUUUAAAGAAAGCGUAAUAGCUCACUGGUCGAGUCGGCCUGCGCGGAAGAUGUAACGGGGCUAAACCAUGCACCGAAGCUGCGGCAGCGACGCUUAUGCGUUGUUGGGUAGGGGAGCGUUCUGUAAGCCUGCGAAGGUGUGCUGUGAGGCAUGCUGGAGGUAUCAGAAGUGCGAAUGCUGACAUAAGUAACGAUAAAGCGGGUGAAAAGCCCGCUCGCCGGAAGACCAAGGGUUCCUGUCCAACGUUAAUCGGGGCAGGGUGAGUCGACCCCUAAGGCGAGGCCGAAAGGCGUAGUCGAUGGGAAACAGGUUAAUAUUCCUGUACUUGGUGUUACUGCGAAGGGGGGACGGAGAAGGCUAUGUUGGCCGGGCGACGGUUGUCCCGGUUUAAGCGUGUAGGCUGGUUUUCCAGGCAAAUCCGGAAAAUCAAGGCUGAGGCGUGAUGACGAGGCACUACGGUGCUGAAGCAACAAAUGCCCUGCUUCCAGGAAAAGCCUCUAAGCAUCAGGUAACAUCAAAUCGUACCCCAAACCGACACAGGUGGUCAGGUAGAGAAUACCAAGGCGCUUGAGAGAACUCGGGUGAAGGAACUAGGCAAAAUGGUGCCGUAACUUCGGGAGAAGGCACGCUGAUAUGUAGGUGAAGCGACUUGCUCGUGGAGCUGAAAUCAGUCGAAGAUACCAGCUGGCUGCAACUGUUUAUUAAAAACACAGCACUGUGCAAACACGAAAGUGGACGUAUACGGUGUGACGCCUGCCCGGUGCCGGAAGGUUAAUUGAUGGGGUUAGCGGUAACGCGAAGCUCUUGAUCGAAGCCCCGGUAAACGGCGGCCGUAACUAUAACGGUCCUAAGGUAGCGAAAUUCCUUGUCGGGUAAGUUCCGACCUGCACGAAUGGCGUAAUGAUGGCCAGGCUGUCUCCACCCGAGACUCAGUGAAAUUGAACUCGCUGUGAAGAUGCAGUGUACCCGCGGCAAGACGGAAAGACCCCGUGAACCUUUACUAUAGCUUGACACUGAACAUUGAGCCUUGAUGUGUAGGAUAGGUGGGAGGCUUUGAAGUGUGGACGCCAGUCUGCAUGGAGCCGGCCUUGAAAUACCACCCUUUAAUGUUUGAUGUUCUAACGUUGGCCCCUGAUCGGGGUUGCGGACAGUGUCUGGUGGGUAGUUUGACUGGGGCGGUCUCCUCCUAAAGAGUAACGGAGGAGCACGAAGGUUGGCUAAUCCUGGUCGGACAUCAGGAGGUUAGUGCAAUGGCAUAAGCCAGCUUGACUGCGAGCGUGACGGCGCGAGCAGGUGCGAAAGCAGGUCAUAGUGAUCCGGUGGUUCUGAAUGGAAGGGCCAUCGCUCAACGGAUAAAAGGUACUCCGGGGAUAACAGGCUGAUACCGCCCAAGAGUUCAUAUCGACGGCGGUGUUUGGCACCUCGAUGUCGGCUCAUCACAUCCUGGGGCUGAAGUAGGUCCCAAGGGUAUGGCUGUUCGCCAUUUAAAGUGGUACGCGAGCUGGGUUUAGAACGUCGUGAGACAGUUCGGUCCCUAUCUGCCGUGGGCGCUGGAGAACUGAGGGGGGCUGCUCCUAGUACGAGAGGACCGGAGUGGACGCAUCACUGGUGUUCGGGUUGUCAUGCCAAUGGCACUGCCCGGUAGCUAAAUGCGGAAGAGAUAAGUGCUGAAAGCAUCUAAGCACGAAACUUGCCCCGAGAUGAGUUCUCCCUGAGACUUUAAGUCUCCUGAAGGAACGUUGAAGACGACGACGUUGAUAGGCCGGGUGUGUAAGCGCAGCGAUGCGUUGAGCUAACCGGUACUAAUGAACCGUGAGGCUUAACCUU
This 2528-nucleotide ribosomal RNA is filed under the name Escherichia coli. Its description in RNAcentral is "partial 23S ribosomal RNA". It matches the Rfam family "Bacterial large subunit ribosomal RNA", at positions 418 to 2925 of the family's 2925-position model. The record is from RNAcentral. Lineage: Bacteria; Pseudomonadati; Pseudomonadota; Gammaproteobacteria; Enterobacterales; Enterobacteriaceae.